Molecule: ribosomal RNA, 468 nt
Filed under: uncultured bacterium
Lineage: Bacteria
Description: partial 16S ribosomal RNA
Rfam family: Bacterial small subunit ribosomal RNA
Source: RNAcentral
GACGAACGCUGGCGGCGUGCUUAACACAUGCAAGUCGAACGGAAAGGCCCUGCUUUUGUGGGGUGCUCGAGUGGCGAAUGGGUGAGUAACACGUGAGUAACCUGCCCUUGACCUUGGGAUAACUUCAGGAAACUGGGGCUAAUACCGGAUCGGAGCUCCUGCUGCAUGGUGGGGGUUGGAAAGUUUCGGCGGUUGGGGAUGGACUCGCGGCUUAUCAGCUUGUUGGUGGGGUAGUGGCUUACCAAGGCUUUGACGGGUAGCCGGCCUGAGAGGGUGACCGGCCACAUUGGGACUGAGAGACGGCCCAGACUCCUACGGGAGGCAGCAGUGGGGAAUAUUGCACAAUGGGCGGAAGCCUGAUGCAGCAACGCCGCGUGCGGGAUGACGGCCUUCGGGUUGUAAACCGCUUUCGCCUGUGACGAAGCGUGAGUGACGGUAAUGGGUAAAGAAGCACCGGCUAACUACGUG